GAAUUUAGACAUGGAAAAAAAAAAAAAAAGGUUCUCCCAGGGCGAGGCUCAUCCAUUGCACUCCGGGUGUGCUGACCCCUGCGAUUUCCCCAAAUGCGGGAAACUCGACUGCAUAAUUUGUGGUAGUGGGGGACUGCGUUCGCGCUCUCCCCUG
This 154-nucleotide small nuclear RNA is filed under the name Erpetoichthys calabaricus (reedfish). RNAcentral's name for it is "U1 spliceosomal RNA (ENSECRG00000014730.1)". It matches the Rfam family "U1 spliceosomal RNA". Rfam says of the family: U1 is a small nuclear RNA (snRNA) component of the spliceosome (involved in pre-mRNA splicing). Its 5' end forms complementary base pairs with the 5' splice junction, thus defining the 5' donor site of an intron. Lineage: Eukaryota; Metazoa; Chordata; Cladistia; Polypteriformes; Polypteridae. The record is from RNAcentral.